Molecule: long non-coding RNA, 592 nt
Organism: Humulus lupulus (European hop)
Lineage: Eukaryota; Viridiplantae; Streptophyta; Magnoliopsida; Rosales; Cannabaceae
Exons: 3
Source: RefSeq, a predicted model, not a curated record
GAACCCAAUUUUAUAAAAUUCAAAUCCCAUUUAAUUAAGAAGUCAAGUGGGCAAGUGGGUAGAAAAGCACUCAAGUGUUUUGUGAUAUUUUGAAGAGUUGUGUGAGCCAUUCUAACCCCCAAAUCCGACCACUCUCCCUCCCUCAUUCACUCUCAUCUGAUUUUUGAAGACUCUCUCAAGUGUUCUCUCCAUUUUGAACCCCAAGAACACCAAAGAAACUUGGAAGCUAAGUCUUGGUCUAGGAAGGGUUUUCCCUAAGUUGGUUAGGGUUUUUGAAAGGUUUUGAAGGAGUCAAAGCUUAUAGGAAGGUCCAAACCUUAAGCAAGAACACCAAAGAGGUAAGAGCAAGGGCAAGGCAGAGCAGUGAGCGCUGGAGUCUUCCUUGCAAAUGUACAUGUGGACCGACCUUUUGGGAAGCCUUUUUAUUUUUGGAAAUGUUGUGUAAUUUUCCUAAACUAGGCUCACUCUAAUCUUUAUAAAACAUGUUUGUAACUAAAUGUUAAGUAUGGCCAUACGACUUUUUAAAAAGUUUUUUUUUUCUAUGGGUUUUUGAGACAUUUUGUUAAAUGAAAACAUUUAUAUUUCCGCAUUA